This 478-nucleotide ribosomal RNA is filed under the name uncultured bacterium. Its description in RNAcentral is "partial 16S ribosomal RNA". It matches the Rfam family "Bacterial small subunit ribosomal RNA", at positions 28 to 523 of the family's 1533-position model. The record is from RNAcentral.
GACGAACGCUGGCGGCGUGCUUAACACAUGCAAGUCGAACGGUAAGGCCCUUCGGGGUACACGAGUGGCGAACGGGUGAGUAACACGCGGGUGAUCUGCUCUGCACUUCGGGAUAUGCCUGGGAAACUGGGUCUAAUACCGGUUAGGACCACUGCCUGCAUGGGUGGUGGAGGAUAGCUUUUGCGGUGUGGGAUGGGCCCGCGGCCUAUGAGCUUGUUGGUGGGGUGAUGGCCUACCAAGCCGACGACGGGUAGCCGGCCUGAGAGGGUGACCGGCCACACUGGGACUGAGAUACGGCCCAGACUCCUACGGGAGGCAGCAGUGGGGAAUAUUGCACAAUGGGCGCAAGCCUGAUGCAGCGACGCCGCGUGAGGGAUGACGGCCUUCGGGUUGUAAACCUCUUUCAGCACCGACGAAGCGCAAGUGACGGUAGGUGCAGAAGAAGGACCGGCCAACUACGUGCCAGCCGCCGCGGUAA